GAAAAUGGUCAAAGGCAAAAAACAAUGGCUGAAACCAGGUGAUUUGAGAACUAAGAAGCUAACAGAAUAUGAGAAACAAAGAAAUAAGCAAAUCAAGGAGAGCUGUGAGGUAAUGAACAAUCUUGAAGUAAAGAAUGUUACAAAUUCUUUGGUCAGUGCGGUUCAUCCCAAAUGUGCAAAUACAAAGGAAAAGGGAAUUAGGGUUGAGGUAGAUGAUGAUGAUGAGAAUAAACCAUCAGAGAGUGGGGAUGACAAUGAUGAUGAGUCAUUGGGUUCCUUUGACCGCGAGGAUCAAGAGAUGAUGCCACCUGGACUCCGUUUACAGUCUCAUUCAAGGCCAUUAAAUCCCACUCCAGAGGAAGGGACAGAUCCCUUAUGUCAGGACAUUGGUACCUAACCCUUACUACCUCAUAAUGUGCAACCUGAGCACGAGGUGACUGCAUCUAGCAGCAUUCCAUCACAGACACGCGGUCGUGGCCCGACACACGGCAUAUAGGCCCAACGCGUUGUCGAUAAGGAUGGAAAGAUGUUGGUUCCUAUACCUGAAUAGUUUCGUGCGCCAGUAAGAGAGAAGGCCUCUAAGCUGGCCUCCAAGAUUGGCAUAGAGGUUCGAACACAGUUACCAGACCUAAGUGUUUGUAGGUGGAAAAAGGUGAACAAUGCUGAAAAUGAGCCAAUGAUCCAACGUUUGGCGGAUCAGUUUGAUCUACUAGGAAAUCAGAGCGAUGUAGCAAAGGCUUUAGACAUACAGUUUGGUCGGCAAUUAAGUGGCUUCACCUAUAGGUUGCACAAAAAAUACAAGCAACUUAAGGAUGCAAAAGGAGAGGAGCACCAACAUGCAAGUGUUGCACGUGAUCAAUGGACAUCUCUAAUUGACAAGAAGUGGAAUAGUAAAGAAGUGGAAUAGUAAAGAAUUCAAGGAUGCAAAUGAAAACAAAACAUUGAUGUGGAUCAAAAUCAAUCCCGGUCAGAGUGUUCAUCUCAGUGCGUUCUAUUAAUUUUUUAAUUAGAUUAGUAGGCUUUGUUAUUUAAAUAUUUGAAAUUACAUUAAAAAAAAAACAAAUGAAUCAGAUAAUUGCAAAUGGAAAGUGCCCGAUUUGGCAGAAUUUUACAAGUCCAUCCCCUACAAUUCGGACACGCAUGAAUGGAUUUCGUCGGAGAGCCAAAUUAAUUAUGACAACAUGAUACAGACGCAAGCAAAACACCUCUCGGAGACUGGUGCAAUCCCCUUGACCCCAGAAGAGUUGUCAGUCAAGGUGCUUAAGCCAAGGGCAGAUUAUGUGAAAGGACUCGGCAUGAGGCCUUUUUCUUCUAUGAAGACUACUGUUGCACCUGCUGAAAAUAGUGACUAUGUUCAACGCCUUGAGAUGCAAAUAGCACAGCAAAAUGAACAAAUUGCAAGGUUUCAAAAGUCAGAGAAAAAACAAAACAAGAAGAUACAAAGUAUCAUAUAGUAUUCGAGGCAGAAAGGUAUCACGAGAAAUUUUGAGAGUGGGAAAAGUUUAGAUUCUGAUGAACAAGCUUCUUGGUUAGUAUAUCAUGUUUCUAUGUUAAUUUAGUAUAAACUUUCUUCUUCAACUAGGGUAAAAUAAAAAACUACUUUGACAGUUAGGCACGAAAAGUCCCAGAAAAAUAGUGAAAUAUGCAUGUAAAGGUCCGGGAAACAUCACAAACAGCUUGAGAUGGAGCAACAUAAAUUGUGCAAAUUUACGGAACAAGCACGUGGCUCUUGAUUUGAAAACUACUUUGAAAUUUGCACUAUUCCAAUGCUUAGGCACGAAAAUAAGUCUUGGGGAGGGGGGGAAAGCUUCAAAUAGGCAUGAAAAGGCUCGGGAAAUAUCAUGAACACCGCGAGAGGAACCAAUGUAAAUUGUGAAAACUUAUAGAACAAGCACGAGACUCCAAAAAAUUUACCAUUGUAUUCCAAACUUAUAGUAACCAAUGUAAGUUGUGGAAACUUAUGGAACUCGCACG
Non-coding RNA from Camellia sinensis, 1974 nucleotides. NCBI's taxonomy places the organism in Eukaryota, Viridiplantae, Streptophyta, Magnoliopsida, Ericales, Theaceae. The record is from RefSeq and is a predicted model, not a curated record.